This 69-nucleotide transfer RNA is filed under the name Ramisyllis kingghidorahi. RNAcentral's name for it is "Ramisyllis sp. k GPS-2021 tRNA-Trp". The record is from RNAcentral. Lineage: Eukaryota; Metazoa; Annelida; Polychaeta; Phyllodocida; Syllidae.
UAAAAACUUAAGUUAAUUUAAAACUCUAAACCUUCAAAGUUUGAUAUAUGACCCACUUCAUAGUUUUUG